AGAGUUUGAUCCUGGCNCAGGAUGAACGCUAGCGGCAGGCUUAACACAUGCAAGUCGAGGGGCAGCACGGGUAGCAAUACUUGGUGGCGACCGGCGCAAGGGUGCGUAACGCGUGAGCAACAUGCCCGUAUCAGGGGGAUAAUCCAUGGAAACGUGGUCUAAUACCCCAUAGUAAGUUUUUGGGGCAUCUCAAAGAUUUUAAAGCUUUGGUGGAUACGGAUUGGCUCGCGUGACAUUAGCUAGAUGGUAAGGUAACGGCUUACCAUGGCUACGAUGUCUAGGGGUUCUGAGAGGAAGGUCCCCCACACUGGAACUGAGACACGGUCCAGACUCCUACGGGAGGCAGCAGUGAGGAAUAUUGGACAAUGGAUGGAAAUCUGAUCCAGCCAUGCCGCGUGCAGGAAGACGGCCCUAUGGGUUGUAAACUGCUUUUGUAUGGGAGCAAUAAGGGCUACGUGUAGUCCGAUGAGAGUACCAUACGAAUAAGCACCGGCUAACUCCGUGCCAGCAGCCGCGGUAAUACGGAGGGUGCAAGCGUUAUCCGGAUUUAUUGGGUUUAAAGGGUGCGUAGGCGGUUUGAUAAGUCAGCGGUGAAAUAUUUCAGCUUAACUGGAAGGGUGCCGUUGAUACUGUCGAGCUUGAAUUUAGUUGCUGUGGGUGGAAUGUGUGGUGUAGCGGUGAAAUGCAUAGAUAUCACACAGAAUAUCGAUUGCGAAGGCAGCUCACAAAGCUAAUAUUGACGCUGAUGCACGAAAGUGUGGGGAUCAAACAGGAUUAGAUACCCUGG
RNAcentral lists this ribosomal RNA (787 nucleotides) under uncultured bacterium. Its description in RNAcentral is "bacterial SSU rRNA". It matches the Rfam family "Bacterial small subunit ribosomal RNA", at positions 8 to 790 of the family's 1533-position model. The record is from RNAcentral.